GAAACUAUGAUUCACUAUUGGCCCACCAAUGGCUCAUAUUAAAAUUUAGGCCCAAAUCGCCCGUCGUGUAACUUUCGCUAUGGUCUGUUACUGAACUUAAAUGGCUAUCUCUAAGUAGCUCCGCUUGAUCUUUUGUUUGUCGAGCGAUUUCGAAAGCUUUUCCUUAUCAGUUACCUUUAUCUACGGCGCCCAACCUUAAGAACCCAAAGGUGCCUUCUCUUUCUUUUGGCGUGCGUCUCUGAAGUUUGACAAUCUUGUUAUUGCUGUUGUGGUAGGUGGAGUUCAGAGUGAUCGUUUUUCGUCCAUUUGUUGAAAUCAAGGUAGAUGGAUAUGGAAUUUUGGAGGAACAGAAGAAGAACAGUUGGAAGAAUCAUGAUUUAUUAUUGAUGGGACAGAUCAGGGAUCAAUAGACUAUAUGAUGGUUUGGGCCCAGUUUCAUAGUGGGAGGACGCAGAAAUGGUUCAGGAAGAACUUUAAGUUAACAGACAAAUUAGCUAGCCUUACAUAUCAGUAAAUGGAAGGACAACUGAGGCUUUUCGUAGGUUGGAGAUGAUUGUAACUACUUCAAAAGGCAGCAGAAAUGAUAUUUUUCAAAGCUUGCAAUAGCCGGCGGCAGUGGGUUUUUUCGUGCUUCUUCCUACAGAUUACGGGGUGAUUUGGAUGCCACCGUACCCCCAGUUGAGCUCUAUGGAACAUUGUGCCAAAUUCAUUGAUGCAAUGUUUGGAUGAAAAUGUUGAGGCGUGAUAGCCUCUAGUUACCCACUGGAGAUAAAAGCUUCGGUAGAAAUUGAUACGUUACAUUUCCACCGCACCUUUUGUCUCAAUUUUGCCCAUAAUUUUUUUAAUUUCUUUCCUUUCUACUUUUAAAGUUGUAAAAGUUGUAGAGAUUUUCAUAUCAUUUAA
RNA transcript from Durio zibethinus, 903 nucleotides. It is a transcript of the gene named photosystem II reaction center W protein, chloroplastic-like, with no coding region annotated. The record is from RefSeq and is a predicted model, not a curated record. Lineage: Eukaryota; Viridiplantae; Streptophyta; Magnoliopsida; Malvales; Malvaceae.